CGUUGAAACACCGGUACCAGUACGAUCACCUAAGUUAAGCCACAUCGAGCCUAGUAAGUACUUAGAUGGGUGACCGCUUGGGUAUAUAAGAUACUG
Acanthosepion pharaonis is the source of this 96-nucleotide non-coding RNA. The record is from the annotation of a GenBank genome assembly. NCBI's taxonomy places the organism in Eukaryota, Metazoa, Mollusca, Cephalopoda, Sepiida, Sepiidae.